CCUACGGGAGGCUGCAGUGAGGAAUAUUGGUCAAUGGGCGCGAGCCUGAACCAGCCAAGUCGCGUGAGGGAAGACGGUCCUAUGGAUUGUAAACCUCUUUUGUCGGGGAGCAAAGGGCGGCACGCGUGGCGUUCCGAGAGUACCUGAAGAAAAAGCAUCGGCUAACUCCGUGCCAGCAGCCGCGGUAAUACGGAGGAUGCGAGCGUUAUCCGGAUUUAUUGGGUUUAAAGGGUGCGCAGGGGGAAGGUAAAGUCAGCGGUAAAAUUGAGAGGCUCAACCUCUUAGAGCCGUUGACACUGGUAGUCUUGAGUGCGUGAGAAGUAGGCGGAAUGCGUGGUGUAGCGGUGAAAUGCAUAGAUAUCACGCAGAACUCCGAUUGCGAAGGCAGCAUACCGGCGCUCCACUGACGCUGAUGCACGAAAGUGUGGGUAUCGAACAGGAUUAGAUACCCCUGUAGUC
Molecule: ribosomal RNA, 459 nt
Filed under: uncultured bacterium
Lineage: Bacteria
Description: partial 16S ribosomal RNA
Rfam family: Bacterial small subunit ribosomal RNA
Source: RNAcentral